GAUGAACGCUGGCGGCGUGCCUAAUACAUGCAAGUCGAGCGAAUGGAUUAAGAGCUUGCUCUUAUGAAGUUAGCGGCGGACGGGUGAGUAACACGUGGGUAACCUGCCCAUAAGACUGGGAUAACUCCGGGAAACCGGGGCUAAUACCGGAUAACAUUUUGAACCGCAUGGUUCGAAAUUGAAAGGCGGCUUCGGCUGUCACUUAUGGAUGGACCCGCGUCGCAUUAGCUAGUUGGUGAGGUAACGGCUCACCAAGGCAACGAUGCGUAGCCGACCUGCGAGGGUGAUCGGCCACACUGGGACUGAGACACGGCCCAGACUCCUACGGGAGGCAGCAGUAGGGAAUCUUCCGCAAUGGACGAAAGUCUGACGGCGCAACGCCGCGUGAGUGAUGAAGGCUUUCGGGUCGUAAAACUCUGUUGUUAGGGAAGAACAAGUGCUAGUUGAAUAAGCUGGCACCUUGACGGUACCUAACCAGAAAGCCACGGCUAACUACGUGCCAGCCGCCACCGUA
Molecule: ribosomal RNA, 514 nt
Filed under: uncultured bacterium
Lineage: Bacteria
Description: partial 16S ribosomal RNA
Rfam family: Bacterial small subunit ribosomal RNA
Source: RNAcentral